RNAcentral lists this long non-coding RNA (1244 nucleotides) under Homo sapiens (human). Its description in RNAcentral is "HSALNT0302710". Lineage: Eukaryota; Metazoa; Chordata; Mammalia; Primates; Hominidae. The record is from RNAcentral.
GGCAUUGCUUACAGGGGUCACAGACAUUCAGAUCAUGGCAGAACUGUCACAGAUGUUACUUUGUGAAAACACAAAGAAUAAUGUGUUUGGAGAGAUCAGUCUUCAAUUAGCUAUAUUUUCUAGGAGCCUACCUUUACUUAGCCUCACAACAUGGGCCUUAGCUUUAGCACUUAAUCUGCACAAAUACCUGGCUUAAGUGUUAUGACUGACUGGCUAUUCAACCAAACCAUACAAAUGACCAAUUCGGUAAGAAAGCAUGAACUUCAGUGUUGAACCAAAUCAACCAACCUCCUCAAUCCAAAUGAACAAUGCUAUUCUAGGAGUCUGUGCUAGAAUAAAAUCCUAAUGCAAAGGCUGUCUUAAAAUGCUGAACCCAGAAGAAUUUGGCAUAAAUAAGACAUGGAGUUAGCUGACAUGAGAUAUUACAUUUAUUCCACUGUUGACGAGGACAAAACUGGGCCGCUAUUGUCACAGGAGAGGAUAACAAAGGAAGCUGAGGAAGUCUGUUCUGGAGGCACCAUGACAAAGCACCAGACAGAAAGCAGUCACGUGUGGGGAGAUGAGCAGAGACACCACUUCUCAAGCACCUGAUUAUUCUUUCUCAGUAUUUAGAAGCAAAAAUUAUCCUUAAGAAAAACAACCGCAAACGCAACACAGGCUACACAGAUGAGAAAAUGGGAUUUCAAGAGAGAAGGCUGAAAAGGAAGGUGACUGGAAUAUUAAGAACUGUGAGAUAUUCUGAGGAAACUCUAAUUUGUAAAUUGGUAGAAAUGCCAGUAAUUUGUUGGGAAUUGAAGACCCUCUGUAUUCAAGAGCGAAGCUUGGCAGCUGUGCACUGUUGUUUUAUAAAUCAAUAUUACAUCUGAAGGUGGUGUUUGAAUGUUUGUGUCAUUGGGGUUUGUCUCCAACAUAGUCCUGUGACAAGAAAUGUUCAAACAAAACAAACACAAUCCCUUCCCUGUCCUUUAGGAUAAAGUCCAAACGUAAUUCCACAACAGGGAUAUAACAUUCAAAUCAACUACAGAACUUCUGUAAUUAUAUAAAACCCCACGACCACAGAAAUGCAAUUGAAUUGAAGACACUUUGCAAUAUUCCCCAAGAAAGGACUGUGUGGCUGUCAGAUUAACAAAAGUCAAGAGGUGGUGAGACAAUGCUCACCAUUGCAAAAAAGAGCUUUGUGCAUAAUGAACAGAAUUUGCAUGCCUGUUUAGGAAAUUAAGGUGAAGCCAAGGUGACUUAGGGUC